This 429-nucleotide ribosomal RNA is filed under the name Actinomycetes bacterium. RNAcentral describes it as "Actinobacteria bacterium partial 16S ribosomal RNA". It matches the Rfam family "Bacterial small subunit ribosomal RNA", at positions 355 to 776 of the family's 1533-position model. Lineage: Bacteria; Bacillati; Actinomycetota; Actinomycetes. The record is from RNAcentral.
UAGGGAAUCUUCCGCAAUGGGCGAAAGCCUGACGGAGCAACGCCGCGUGAGUGAUGAAGGUCUUCGGAUCGUAAAACUCUGUUAUUAGGGAAGAACAAAUGUGUAAGUAACUAUGCACGUCUUGACGGUACCUAAUCAGAAAGCCACGGCUAACUACGUGCCAGCAGCCGCGGUAAUACGUAGGUGGCAAGCGUUAUCCGGAAUUAUUGGGCGUAAAGCGCGCGUAGGCGGUUUUUUAAGUCUGAUGUGAAAGCCCACGGCUCAACCGUGGAGGGUCAUUGGAAACUGGAAAACUUGAGUGCAGAAGAGGAAAGUGGAAUUCCAUGUGUAGCGGUGAAAUGCGCAGAGAUAUGGAGAAACACCAGUGGCGAAGGCGACUUUCUGGUCUGUAACUGACGCUGAUGUGCGAAAGCGUGGGGAUCAAACAGG